AAAGAAUUAGUUUAUCAAAAAUAUAAGUUUGUCAAACCUAAGAAAUUUAGUAAAUAAAUAUUCUUUU
RNAcentral lists this transfer RNA (67 nucleotides) under Megalodontes cephalotes. RNAcentral describes it as "tRNA-Asp". The record is from RNAcentral. Lineage: Eukaryota; Metazoa; Arthropoda; Insecta; Hymenoptera; Megalodontesidae.